This 215-nucleotide ribosomal RNA is filed under the name uncultured fungus. RNAcentral describes it as "partial small subunit ribosomal RNA". The stretch from base 88 to 215 matches the Rfam family "Eukaryotic small subunit ribosomal RNA", at positions 735 to 864 of the family's 1831-position model. The record is from RNAcentral. Lineage: Eukaryota; Fungi.
GAUCUGGCUGAGUGGUCUGCCUCACGGUAUGUACUGCUCGGCUGGGUCUUACCUCUUGGUGAGCCAGCAUGUCCUUUACUGGAUGUGUUGGGGAACCAGGACUUUUACCUUGAGAAAAUUAGAGUGUUCAAAGCAGGCCUAUGCCCGAAUACAUUAGCAUGGAAUAAUAAAAUAGGACGUGCGGUUCUAUUUUGUUGGUUUCUAGAGUCGCCGUA